Molecule: long non-coding RNA, 213 nt
Filed under: Elaeis guineensis (African oil palm)
Lineage: Eukaryota; Viridiplantae; Streptophyta; Magnoliopsida; Arecales; Arecaceae
Description: long non-coding RNA (EGUI_LNC000971)
Source: RNAcentral
AUGAAAUCACCUUUGGUGGCCACAUUCUCAUUUUUUGCACGAGGAGGUGAUGAUGGGAGAUAACCUAAUGAGAUUCUGAUCAAGAAUUAGCUAAUAAAAUAAUCAAUGCAAGUAUGUCUGACUGAUGACUUGCGAGAGAACCUAAAGAUUAGAAAUUGAGAGAAAAAAUUUUCUACAUUAAAAUUUUGGAGGCGAUCAAUCCGAAGGAGGAGG